AUACAUUGAUAAUACACUGCACAGAUUAAUGUACCAUAAUGACAGAUAUAUGGGUGCACGCCUGUUGCGUAGCAAAUGAUAUGGAUUGAAGUCCCGAAAGGACAAUCCUUUGAUAUGUCAAUAUUGAUAUUAUGCACGCCUAAUGCGUAGCAAAUUAUAUGGGUUAAAGUCCCAUAAUAUGGGUUAAAGUCCCAGAAAUUAAUUGACAUGUAUAUUUUAAUCUGUGGCAUGCCUGCAGCAUGACAGAUAUAUGG
Molecule: long non-coding RNA, 254 nt
Filed under: Prunus persica (peach)
Lineage: Eukaryota; Viridiplantae; Streptophyta; Magnoliopsida; Rosales; Rosaceae
Description: long non-coding RNA (PPER_LNC000941)
Source: RNAcentral